UACGUAGGGGGCAAGCGUUGUCCGGAAUCAUUGGGCGUAAAGAGCGUGUAGGCGGCUCGGUAAGUCCGCUGUGAAAGUCCAGGGCUCAACCCUGGAAUGCCGGUGGAAACUGUCGAGCUAGAGUCCGGAAGAGGCGAGUGGAAUUCCUGGUGUAGCGGUGAAAUGCGCAGAUAUCAGGAGGAACACCACUGGCGAAGGCGGGUCUCUGGGCAGUAACUGACGCUGAGGAGCGAAAGCGUGGGGAGCGAACAGG
RNAcentral lists this ribosomal RNA (253 nucleotides) under uncultured bacterium. RNAcentral's name for it is "partial 16S ribosomal RNA". It matches the Rfam family "Bacterial small subunit ribosomal RNA", at positions 524 to 776 of the family's 1533-position model. The record is from RNAcentral.